This is a non-coding RNA of Bombyx mori (domestic silkworm), 87 nucleotides long. The record is from Rfam. Lineage: Eukaryota; Metazoa; Arthropoda; Insecta; Lepidoptera; Bombycidae.
UAAAAGUUAACUCUUUGUAUGCAGUUGGAACAGCGUCCCUAGCGGCAAACGUAGGUAAACGUUCCAAAUCCAUACAAAUUGGAGUUA